UAAAAGCAACACACUGAACAGUAAGGGCAAAAAUUCUACAUAAAUACUGUUUAUAAAAUAAAAUAAUGACUUCCUAUUCAAUGGAAUAUGCAACUUAGAAGGUUAAUUUUUAAAAAUGAGAAAUUGUGCAUAUUUGAGUAUUAAAAAGACAGACUAUUUACAAUAGAUGAUUGUAAAAACAGUGGAACAGCAGAGAAAUUCAGAAAUCAGCAUUAAUGUUAUAAUGUUAUUUAAAAUAUGUAAAAGCCAGGAUGUGUACAUAUAUUGUUUGUUUUUUUUUUACUUAAUUAUAAACUGUUACAAAUAUACUGAAAUACCAGUAGUCAAUAAAUUACUGAAGUAAGAGUAAACAAGUAACUGGUAAAAAGAUCUCCUGAGUUCUAAGUAAAAGACCUGAUUGUGUGACUUAAUAUUUUAAAAAUAAAGUAAUCAGACAGACAUGAAUGCAAAUUGUCGUAUUAAAAAUGAAUACAAGUAACAUAAUUACAAAGUAGUAAUUUUAAGCAGAAGAAGCACUUUUCCAAAUCAGCCCAUCCAUCCAUUCAUCCACUGAAUGUCAAGGUAAACAUCUAACGUGUUAACACCGCAGCUCUUCAAAGUAAAAGCAUUUCCGGCCGUGCUUUAUUGUGUUGGUACCCUGAGCGGAAGUGGAGUGUAAGCGUUAGAUAAGGAGCUCAGCAUCGACUCCGCUGCUGCUGCUGCUGCGCUUCUCUUCACUGUGACUGUGCGGAGAUGUUAGACCGUUCCCGGUGAAAAAAGCACCGAAGCUCUGCCCCGUGGAAAUGCCUCACCGCCGCAGGCUGUAACCGAGCGGGAUUCGCGGACAGCCGAGCGGGGCAGAGAAGGCCAGGUCUCCGGGACAGGUUGGGAGGAAAACACCGGCAGGAUGUGGCAAGUUUUAGCAUGCGGGGCUGUAGUUUUCCCCGGUCUUUUCUUCGUCUUCAAGAAGAUUCUGCCCGCUGUGUUCAAACACUGGACCGAUGCCGACGUGGUUCUGGUCAGCGAGAGGCUGGUGUCCUCCAUCCACGCUGUCAUGGCAACAACAACGGGGAUCAUCGUCGUUUCCUCAUGCAGCAGCAACAUAAUUUAUGACAGG
Molecule: long non-coding RNA, 1096 nt
Organism: Poecilia latipinna (sailfin molly)
Lineage: Eukaryota; Metazoa; Chordata; Actinopteri; Cyprinodontiformes; Poeciliidae
Exons: 2
Source: RefSeq, a predicted model, not a curated record